UACAGAGGUCCCAAGCGUUGUUCGGAUUCAUUGGGCGUAAAGGGUGCGUAGGCGGUGGGGUAAGUUGGAUGUGAAAUCUUGGGGCUUAACCUCAAAAUUGCAUUCAAUACUGCUCUGCUCGAGUUCUGUAGAGGAGAUUGGAAUUUACGGUGUAGCAGUGAAAUGCGUAGAUAUCGUAAGGAACGCCAGUGGCGAAAGCGAAUCUCUGGGCAGCAACUGACGCUGAGGCACGAAAGCGUGGGGAGCAAACAGG
RNAcentral lists this ribosomal RNA (253 nucleotides) under uncultured bacterium. RNAcentral's name for it is "partial 16S ribosomal RNA". It matches the Rfam family "Bacterial small subunit ribosomal RNA", at positions 524 to 776 of the family's 1533-position model. The record is from RNAcentral.